GGACUACCGGGGUUUCUAAUCCUGUUUGCUACCCACGCUUUCGCGCCUGAGCGUCAGUAUCGGACCAAGAGACCGCCUUCGCAACUGGUGUUCUUCCAGAUAUCUACGUAUUUCACCACUACACCUGGAAUUCCGUCUCUCUCUUCCGUACUCAAGAUUUACAGUAUCAAAGGCACUUUCACGGUUAAGCCGUGAGAUUUCACCUCUGACUUGCAAACCCACCUGCGCGCCCUUUACACCCAGUAAAUCCGGACAACGCUUGCCCCCUACGUAUUACCGCGGCUGCUGGCACC
Molecule: unclassified non-coding RNA, 293 nt
Filed under: uncultured fungus
Lineage: Eukaryota; Fungi
Description: sequence contains ITS1
Source: RNAcentral